GACGAACGCUGGCGGCGUGCCUAAUACAUGCAAGUAGAACGCACAGUUUAUACCGUAGCUUGUACACCAUAGACUGUGAGUUGCGAACGGGUGAGUAACGCGUAGGUAACCUGCCUGGUAGCGGGGGAUAACUAUUGGAAACGAUAGCUAAUACCGCAUAAUAUUAAUUAUUGCAUGAUAAUUGAUUAAAAGGUGCAAUUGCACCACUACCAGAUGGACCUGCGUUGUAUUGCUAGUAGGUGAGGUAACGGCUCACCUAGGCGACGAUACAUAGCCGACCUGAGAGGGUGAUCGGCCACACUGGGACUGAGACACGGCCCAGACUCCUACGGGAGGCAGCAGUAGGGAAUCUUCGGCAAUGGACGAAAGUCUGACCGAGCAACGCCGCGUGAGUGAAGAAGGUUUUCGGAUCGUAAAGCUCUGUUGUAAGAGAAGAACGGGUGUGAGAGUGGAAAGUUCACACUGUGACGGUAUCUUACCAGAAAG
This 486-nucleotide ribosomal RNA is filed under the name Streptococcus gordonii. Its description in RNAcentral is "bacterial SSU rRNA". It matches the Rfam family "Bacterial small subunit ribosomal RNA", at positions 28 to 490 of the family's 1533-position model. Lineage: Bacteria; Bacillati; Bacillota; Bacilli; Lactobacillales; Streptococcaceae. The record is from RNAcentral.